RNAcentral lists this transfer RNA (80 nucleotides) under Cupriavidus smyrnaeus. Its description in RNAcentral is "Cupriavidus sp. TA19 tRNA-Glu". The record is from RNAcentral. Lineage: Bacteria; Pseudomonadati; Pseudomonadota; Betaproteobacteria; Burkholderiales; Burkholderiaceae.
CGAUGGCGUGGGUGGACUUCAGUCCCAGUUCCUUCUCGAGGGGCUCGAUGAAGGUCUGGAACAUGUCCAGGAUCAUCGCC